CAAUCUAACAAAAUUGUUUCAAAUGAAGUUAAAGACAACUAAGCGCUACUAGAGCCAUCUCAUGGAAAACAUCAAACGAACUUUUUGGCCAACCCAGUAUAUCUGAGAUGCAGUCACUGCCGCUGCCGUCACCACCAUUGACAAAUUCCUCUGGCCAGUGGGCCCCUCUGAGGCCAGCCAAGAAAAGGAAGGCACUCUGUAGCCCUGGCAGAAGAGUCCUCUAGGGAGGGCCCCAAGGGCCAGAGACCCAAAGAUCAAGACAUUCCAAAUGGAUUGUGGAGGAGGAGCCCUCCAGUUGCCAUGAUGUGGGUGACUGGCCUUUCCAGGUGUGCAGCCUGUGCUGUAGCACAUUACAGGCACACACAGGCGGGUUCCAGUAUUUUCUAAAGAAGGACCCAUACCCCAGAGCUGGCCUAGGGGCAUUCAGAAUCCUAAAGGCAAGACUCCACAAGAAGGACAAGUGUCCAACCAAUCUCAAUCCUCUCCGACCUCUCCUCCCUUGCAGCAAGGAAGACCUAAGGCUGGGCCUUUGCUGUGUCAAUUGCUUGUGGAGGGCCCUGUUGUCCACGCUUGGCUCUCGUUGGGAAAGAGGUCCUAAGGUUUGACCCUGGAAAUCUGAGCAGACUGUUCCUGGGACAUAUAGAUUAGACCGGUCUAACUGUGAUGGUCGGGAAGUCAUCAGAGGCAAAUUCUGUCCACUGUGGUUAUUAUUUCAGGUACUCUCCUCUUAGAUAGUGUUGACCCAUGUGAAGGGAGCGGGGGGAGAUGGGUUAGGAGGAAAUCUACUAAAAGGUACUGGUUAGGCUUGUAUCCUAGAGAGUUAGAGCCAAGCGAGGUGUGCGUUUAGAGAUAUCGCUGUCACCUCAUUUUACUGAAUGAAGAAAUAGAAACUCUGAGUGAUGAUGGGACUUACCCAAGGUCACACAGCUGGAAAAUGACUUUCCAACUUCUGAAGACUAAUAAAGAGCUUAUUUCCCCUCUUCCCUCCCCACUACCCCCACCCAGGGACUCCCAGGGCAUAAGUAAACUGUAAAUGAGACAAGUGCUUCACUAUGACAGAUAAUUAGGGCAAGUUUUAGCGGGAAAGCCAGGGAACACGAGAGAUAAUAAUGAAAACUUUUGGUUCUUAUUAGUGCUUUUUUGUUAAUUAGGAUUAGCAAUCACCAAAGUACCUUUAAGAGCACAUUAGGGGAAACAAAGGAAAUAUACUGCAGGGGAGUCCCUGUCCUUGAGGAGGUCACAGUCCAGCCAGGGAGAUAAAAACACACGUAAAAUGCGGUGAGAAGAUUACAAGCAACAUGUCAACAAAUGCAAAGAAACUGAGUGUUACAACGAGACCUAAUGUGCAGGGUACAGGUGACAGUGAUGAGACGGUCUGGCUUAGAGUGUAGAUCAGAAGGCAGCAGCCCACUGGCUAAAUCCUGUCCCCAAAUGCAUUGAGUUUGGCCCACUGGGAGUUAUUUUUUAUAGUAUUAACUUGAACCCUAGUUGAAGAAGGAAAAAAUGCCAGCUAAUAAAUGUAGAAAGAAUGACAGAAUUGGAAAAAUGGCAUUUUGUGAACUUUAAUAAAACUAUUGAUCCUAGCAAAGAUUAUUAAUUGGUGUUAAACACCAUAGGUGAAAUGAUUGGUAGACAACUGCACAUUGAUACAGCGCCAAGUAACACUGUCAGUUUACAAACUUGAGGACAAAAAUGUAACUGUAUAUUGGAGGGAUCAGACUGUCAUCACUCAUUUCCUGGAAACAGUCUUGGUAUCACCUACCAGUAGGCCAGUUCUGGUAUGAGACAAAUACAUAACCCAACCUAGCAUAUAUUCUAGCUGCUCCCUACCCCAAAAGAAGUAUUAGAUAUAACUUACAGUUUACAGGAAAUAUUGGGGAUAGAGAAACGAACUAAUGGACACUAGGAGGAAGCAACUGGACAAAUCUAGGAGGUGAAGCAUUCUGCAGGGCAACUGGCCAGCUCUCUUCAGCAAGUCAGUAUGAUUUUUUUUUUUAAGCCAAAACUGCUAUGAAAGAGACUUAAGGUAUGCAAUAAUAAUACAAUGCAUGGUCCUGGAUUCCCUGUUAGUUUAAACAAAUUGCUACAAAAGAUGUUUGUGGUCAACUGGAAAUGUUUUAAUAUGGACAGGGGAUUAGAUGGGGUGAAAAUUUACUGAAAUGGAAAGGUCAAAAUCAUUAAUAAAAUACCAGUUCCAAAACCAUAAUCAUUUUGCUUUUAAAAUGUCUAUAUAUUUAUGAAUAAAAAAGAUCUGAAAGGAUAUGCACUAAGGUGUUAACAGUGGUGCUCUCUGAGUGGUGGGAAUAUGUUCUGUUGUUGUUGGCCUACAUUUUCCGUUUUUAUACAAUGCACGUGUACUUCCUCUGUAAUAAUAAUAAGCUAUUAUGAAUAAAAUAACUGGUUGCCAACA
Molecule: long non-coding RNA, 2410 nt
Organism: Aethalodelphis obliquidens (Pacific white-sided dolphin)
Lineage: Eukaryota; Metazoa; Chordata; Mammalia; Artiodactyla; Delphinidae
Exons: 2
Source: RefSeq, a predicted model, not a curated record